This 133-nucleotide small nuclear RNA is filed under the name Numida meleagris (helmeted guineafowl). Its description in RNAcentral is "U1 spliceosomal RNA (ENSNMEG00000019238.1)". It matches the Rfam family "U1 spliceosomal RNA". From Rfam's summary of the family: U1 is a small nuclear RNA (snRNA) component of the spliceosome (involved in pre-mRNA splicing). The record is from RNAcentral. Lineage: Eukaryota; Metazoa; Chordata; Aves; Galliformes; Numididae.
AUACUUACUUGGCAAGGGAGACACAAUGAUGUGAGGCUUAUCCCCUGCAAUCCGGAUGUGUUUACUCCUGUGAUUUUCCCCAAAUACAGGAAAUUUGACUGAAUAAUUUGUGGUAGUGGGGAAGUGUUUCUUU